RNAcentral lists this long non-coding RNA (5579 nucleotides) under Homo sapiens (human). RNAcentral describes it as "HSALNT0093372". The record is from RNAcentral. Lineage: Eukaryota; Metazoa; Chordata; Mammalia; Primates; Hominidae.
CGGACGGGCUGUGGGAGCUGCCGGUGGAGCCGGCCGAGCGGAGGCCUGAGUGCACCCGCUGCAGCCGGCCUCAGAAAGUGUGUUUGUGUCCAUUUCUCCCAGCGCACCCUCUGCAUAUCUCUACCCACUUGUACAUAAUUCAGCAUCCAGCAGAGGAAAACAAAGUGUUGCGUACAGUUCCUCUACUAGCAGCAUGCCUCCCCCAGGACAAGUGUAAAGUGAAGAUCGGUCGUCGCUUCAGUGAAGAAAGAGAUCCUGAACUUUCAACUGUUUGCCGGAAGUCUGGUACAUUAAUAUUAUAUCCAGGGGCUGAAGCUGCUAAUUUGGAAGAAUUUAUAUUAGAUUCUCCUGUUUAUCCUUCUACAAUCAUCAUCAUUGAUGGUACAUGGAGCCAGGCUAAGGACAUUUUCUAUAAGAACUCCUUGUUCCGACAUCCCAAACAGCAAGAAGACUUCCAUUUGCAAGCCAGGAAGAGAGCUCUCACCAGGACCGUGACCAUGCAGGUGCAAUUAAAAACUAGCAUUUCUAGUCAGUAUGUAAUUCGGAUGCAGCCGACUAAUAGAUGCCUUUCUACACUGGAGUGUGCAGCUGUUGCUCUUUCCAUCUUGGAGAAAAAUAAUUACAUACAAGAGACUUUGCUUCGCCCUCUUCAAGCUUUAUGCUCCUUUCAACUUCAGCAUGGUGCCCAAAUUCGCCUCAGCAAGGAACACCUUCUGAAAAAUGGAUUAUAUCCUAAACCAAUGCCAAAGAACAAACGCAAACUCAGGAAAAUGGAAUUGUUAAUGAAUAGUGUUAAAAUUUAGUACAGUUAUUCUUUUGGUGCUAGCUUAACUGUCUUCAUCUAACAAUACCAAAUUAAGUUUUCAUAUAGUUAAGGUCUGUAGGUUUUUGACUUGCUAAAGAAGGAGAAUUGCAUACUAAUCUUACCCAGAAGAAGGAAGUAAACCAAAUAUUCAUAAAUACAAAUAAACAGAAAUUCACUGGCUCACUGAAAAGCAGGAUUUCCUACUGUACUUGUUUUUAAAAAUGUGCCUCUAAUACAUGUUUUCAAACCCAAAUUUAAAAUAUGAUUUGUUGUUGUGAUAGGUUAGAAGUUCUUACUUGUAAAAUAGAAGAAAAUUGUUGUAGUGGAUUGGAACGGUGUUGUGUCCAUUAAUGUUUAUAAAUAAUUAGGUGUAGACCAAUAAUAUAAGAUUCCUACAUCAGUUUGCAGUCCUGACUUUACAGUUUGAAAUAAGUAGCAAAAGAAAAUUAUGAUAAUCAAGUAAUUUAUUAUUUUGUAAAAUAGUAUAAAGGAAUAAGGAAAUUUUAAGUAUUGUUUAGGGGCCAAAUUUGAACUCAGCUAAUAUGAUUUAAGCGCUCUAUUAAUUGCCCUGAUUUUUAAAGAGGUGCAUGUAAUUUUGAAAUAGCACACAUUUUCAUUUGUAAUCACUCUGGAUAAAUUUGUAUUUUUCAGUGUUCAUUGAACAGGCUUAUUGACUCUGGUAAACUUAUUUUAUUGAUGUUUUCAUAUGGAAAAUAAUAAGUGGAAUAUGAUACAAUUGUUAUUUUCAGAACAUAUUUCUUUAGGGCUAUUUAAUAUAACCUUUUUAACGAGCAAAAACUUUCCAUUUGAGAGAAAAAAUUCUUCCUGCUCUGUGGGAAAAUAUUUGCUGAGAUUUUGUAUAGAAUAAGAGACAUGUAUGUAACAUAUAUGUAUAUUCAGCACAAGUCUACUGCAAUUAUGUACACAUUUUGGCAGGAAGAGGGGAUUUUGUUUAGUCUUUGUUUAUGAGUUCUAGAGUUUCCUGUAUCUAGUGUUAAGUUGUAAGGAAAAACUAAACAUGCCAUUUAAAGGUAAACUUGGUAACUAUUUAUAGAGCAUACACCAAUGAUUAUUUCUCACAGUUUUCAUGAUCAUUUGUUUAUUAUUUACUUGGAUUAGACUCAUUAAAAGGUAUAAUGCUGGUCACAAUUAGAAUGCUAAUAUUUGGGGAAACUAUGCAGAAAAUAUUUUAAAAUAUUAAAAGAGUGCUGGCUUCUAUUGUUGAUUUAUUUUUGGAUUUAAAAACAAAUUAGGGCUGGGCCCAUUAGCUCACACCUGUAAUCCCAGCACUUUGGGAGGCUGAGAUGUGAGAAUUGCUUGAGCCCAGGAGUUUGAGACCAGCCUGGGCAAUAUGGUGAGACUCCAUCUCCAUACAAAAUUAAAAAAAAAAUAAUUAGCCAGAUGUGGUGGUGUGCACUUGUAGUCCUAGCUACUUGGGAGGCUAAGGUGGGAGGAUCGCUGGAGCCCAGGACAUCAAGGUUGCAAGGAGCUAUGUUCAUUCCACUGCACUCCAGCCUGGGCUACAGAGUGAGACCUGUCUAAAAUAAAUAAAUAAAUAAACAAACUAGCUCAUUUACAAUGUAAAGCACUUAAUAUCAAAUGAUUAUUUGGUGUACUAGAAAAGAAACAGCAUAUAAUAAUGUAUAAUAGUUUCUUAACAAGUGGGGCUAAAAUCAUUUUGUAGUAAUUUUUCACAUUGAUAUUAAACUUCAUGAGUUUCUUUUAGUCAUUAUUAUUAUUAUUAUUAUUAUUUGAGAUGGAAUCUCGCUCUGUCGCCCAGGCUGGAGUGCAGUGGCGCAAUCUUGGCUCACUGAAAGCUCUGCCUCCUGGGUUCACGCCAUUCUUCUGCCUCAGCCUCCUGAGUAGCUGGGACUACAGGUGCCCACCACCACGCCCGGCUAAUUUUUUGUAUUUUUAGUAGAGAUGGGGUUUCACCGUAUUAGCCAGGAUGGUCUCGAUCUCCUGACCUCGUGAUCUGUCUGCCUUGGCCUCCAAAAGUGCUGGGACCGUGCCCAGCCAUCAUUAUUAUUUUUUAAAAAGAAAACUCCCCCUACCCCCAGUAUACCAUUUUGUAUCUCAAAAUUUUACUUUAUUGAUUUUUAAGAGUAAUUUCUACUUUUAUCUUUUAAAUAAAACAUUUUAGAGUAUUUUUGAAGACUUAAAAAGCUUAAAAUUUAGUGUUUUUGGAAAUGUAUAAAAUUUUCUUGAAGUAUGUAUAGUUUUCCAAAUUACUUUACUGACCUGUUAACUCACUGUACUUGUUUUUUACUUAUUUUUUCCUGACCUCUUAACAAGGUGAGUCCAUUUAAUCAUCUGUGGUAUAAAAUGCUUCUCUAGUCACCUGUUCUCAUUAAACAGUUGUAAGUAAGUUUUAAAAGCCAUUAUUUUAAUUACUAAAAGUUCUCAAGUGUGUAGUAUUAUCUGAGUAUUUUAAUUGAAAAAUUAAUCAGGCUUUUAAAAAUUACUUUUUUAUUGUAUUAGUUGGCUUUUAAAUUCAGAUUCUUUAUAUUUGCUUGAUUUUUCCUGGAAGUUCCAAGUUUUAUGAAUUUGUAGCUGAUAGUAGGUUUUACUUGUGUACCCCAUCUGCACUUUGAUGUUGUGUAGAUCGUUUUGUGAGUUAUUUGAACCGUGUAACUCAGAGAAUAGUAUUUCCUCAUACAUAAAGUGACCUCACUUUUAAUCAGCUCCUUUAUAGUAUGUUGAAAAUCACUGCGUGUAAUGAGAGGUAUUGAGAGUUUCUUGCACACAUGAGUGUAAAAGGUUGAGAACUAGAUUAUACAAAGUAGUAAGUCACAGUGCAUGGCAACUUUCUACAGGUUGGAUUAUAAGACUUAUGUGGAAUAGGAGAAUUAUAUUGGGAAAAAAUUAUUUUCUCUAACUUGAAGACUCCAGAGACACUUUUCUUAGUCAUGACCAGUAAUAUUUUUCAUAUAUUUUGGAAGAAAUAAGCUCCUCACUAUACCACCAGUUAGUGAUUUAUUUAUUUAUGUAUUUUAGAGACAGGGCCUCCUUCUGUCACCCAGUUUGGAGUGCAGUGGUGUAAUCAUAGCUUACUGCAGCAUCAAACUCCUGGGCUCAAGUGUUCCUCCUGCCUCAGCCUCCCAAGUAGCUAGAACCUCAGCCCCAUGCCACCACACUCAGCUAAUUUUAAAUUUUACUAAUUUCAUUUAAUUUUUGUGGAGAUGGGGGUCUUGCUGUGUUGUUUAGGCUGGUCCUGAACUCCUGGCCUCAAGCGAUCCUUCUGCCUUGGCCUCUCAGUAAAUUAUAUAGAAGAGCACUUCUGUAUAAUUUACUCAGUUUCUUCAUCACAUAUUUCCAACUGUUGCCCUAAAUAGGUUUAAAAAUGUGAUCAUGUUAUUAGAAAAUCCUUUCCAUUGAAUUUCAGGGAUGCUGAAUUUCAGGGAGCUAAAUUGUUGACCCUUGCCUGUAGUUGUUAUUGGUUCAGAAGUAAAUUUUAUUGAUGCUACAAGUAAAAAAUUAGAUCUGACUUAGUAAACUCAAAAGUUUUACAAAACUGUAUUUUACUAUGUAGAUGUAUUUCUUUAAAAUAGGUAUGGAUGGAUAUUUUUAUGAAUAAAUAAUAUUGCAUUAUAGAUGGAAUGAAACUUUGCAUUUAAUUUGCCCCAUAAGUAGGCUUUUUGUAGAAUGAAUUACUCUCUUAAAUUGUCCAAUCUAAAUUUUUAUUAGCUACAUUAACUUAAAGCAUAUUCUCUCUCUUUUCUCUUCACACUUUCUUCCUCCUUCCCAGGGUCUUCCUCUCCCUCUUUCAUCACCUACAUUGUUCCCCUUCCCUUUUAUACUAUUCUUAUUGUAUGUACUAGCUGUUGUUAUUUAUACAAAUACUCAUACAUCCUUACAUAGCAUGUUUUUAAACAAAAGAUACUGUAGUGGUCUUAACAGUUUACAAUUUUAUAUUUAAAAAUUAUUCAGGAAAUCUGGAAAUCCCUGACUUUUUACACCGUGCUGAUCACUUGACUCCUGUCUUAGUCCAUUCUGGCUGCUCUCUCAGAAUACCAGAGACUGGAUAGCUUAUAAAAAACAGAAAUUUAUUUCUUCUAAGUCUGGAGGCUGGGAAAUACAAUAUCAAGGUGCCAGCAGAUUUGGUGUCUGGUGAGGGGCCCACUCACUGGUUCAUAGAUGGUGCAUUCUAGCUGUGUCUUCACCUAGUGGAAGGGUCGAGCUAGCUCUCUGAGACCCUUAUGACCUAAUCAUCCCCCAAAGGUUCCACUUCCUAAUACUAUACCUCGGGAAUUAAGGUUUCAACCUGUGAGUUUUGUGGGGACACAAAUAUUCAGACCAUAGCAACUCCUGUACUCUACUAAAAAGCAUAUUAGAGAAAUAAGUAAUUGUUUUUCAAUUUUUAAGAAUUAUUCACUUGAGCCAAGCGUGGUGGCUCACAUCUGUAAUUCCAGCACUUUGGGAGGCCGAGGUGGGUAGAUCACGAGGUCAGGAGUUCAAGACCAGCCUGGCCAAGAUGGUGAAACCUCAUCUGUACUAAAAAUACAAAAAUUAGCCAGGCGUAGUGGCAGGCACCUGUAAUCCCAGCUACUCAGGAGGCUGAGGCAGAGAAUUGCUUGAACCUGGGAGGCAGAGGUUGCAGUGAGCUGAGAUGUACCACUGCACUCUAGCCUGGGCGACAGAGUGAGACAGUGUCUCAAAUAAAUAAAUAAAUAAAUAAAAAUAAGAUUCACUUGAACUAACAACGUAAGAAUUAUUUUUAAAAGAAACUUUUUAAUGUAAGGUUUUUUAAAAAAAUUAUUCGAAUAAGAAAUUU